GAUGAACGCUGGCGGCGUGCCUAAUACAUGCAAGUCGAGCGAACAGACGAGGAGCUUGCUCCUCUGACGUUAGCGGCGGACGGGUGAGUAACACGUGGAUAACCUACCUAUAAGACUGGGAUAACUUCGGGAAACCGGAGCUAAUACCGGAUAAUAUAUUGAACCGCAUGGUUCAAUAGUGAAAGACGGUUUUGCUGUCACUUAUAGAUGGAUCCGCGCCGCAUUAGCUAGUUGGUAAGGUAACGGCUUACCAAGGCAACGAUGCGUAGCCGACCUGAGAGGGUGAUCGGCCACACUGGAUCUGAGACACGGUCCAGACUCCUACGGGAGGCAGCAGUAGGGAAUCUUCCGCAAUGGGCGAAAGCCUGACGGAGCAACGCCGCGUGAGUGAUGAAGGUCUUCGGAUCGUAAAACUCUGUUAUUAGGGAAGAACAAAUGUGUAAGUAACUAUGCACGUCUUGACGGUACCUACUCAGAAAGCCACGGCUAACUACGUG
Molecule: ribosomal RNA, 497 nt
Filed under: uncultured bacterium
Lineage: Bacteria
Description: partial 16S ribosomal RNA
Rfam family: Bacterial small subunit ribosomal RNA
Source: RNAcentral